RNAcentral lists this long non-coding RNA (644 nucleotides) under Microcebus murinus (gray mouse lemur). Its description in RNAcentral is "lncRNA (ENSMICG00000048319.1)". Lineage: Eukaryota; Metazoa; Chordata; Mammalia; Primates; Cheirogaleidae. The record is from RNAcentral.
CUCUGAUUAACUGAGUGUUACUGAGAAAACUCCUUUUGUCUUCACCUGGGCGGUCACACAUCUUUGUAAAAUAGAGUAUAAUCCAUUUUCCUGCCUUAGCAAGUAGGGCUAGAGACAAAAUAGGCUAUCUGUCUCUUUGAUGACUCAGUGCUCCUCUCCAAAUACUGCACAGUCCUGCGAAGAGAAACUGCAGGGGAUUCUGGGCCAAGUGUACCCUGGCCGUGAAGAUGGAUUCCAGGGUAAAACCUACACCCACCUGUUAGCCCAUCGUUUUCCUCUGUCUUGAGAAAAUUGAGAAUCAAGAGUUGGAGGAUGAAGAGUGAUGGCCGAAGAUACUCUCCUGUCUCUGAGACCCUGAGGUCCCCUACAACGCCUAGGACGUGAGCAUGAGCAAAUGCAGAUGUUUCCCCACGAACAAGGGUCCGGUAAACUCUGAGGACACCUUGAAUACUGACGGGUCAACGCCUCUUCAAAGAAGAACAGGCUCGGGAGUAGAGUCCAGACUGAUGGAGCAGGAGCCCAGGGGCUCUGGAACUAAAGGGACACCAGGAUAGAAGAAGCAGGACUCAUUUUUUCAGCAAGGAACAGAAGGUAUGGGUGAUGUAGUUAUAAAACAGCCUCCAAAUGAAUGGUCAAGUCUCGGC